GGACGGUCCCCUCGCAGCGAUAGAUAGUGAACCCCGCCAGGCCCGGAAGGGAGCAACGGUAGUUAUCGA
RNAcentral lists this signal recognition particle RNA (69 nucleotides) under Halieaceae bacterium MED-G26. Its description in RNAcentral is "partial signal recognition particle sRNA small type". It matches the Rfam family "Bacterial small signal recognition particle RNA", at positions 1 to 69 of the family's 97-position model. Rfam says of the family: The signal recognition particle (SRP) is a universally conserved ribonucleoprotein involved in the co-translational targeting of proteins to membranes. Archaeal SRP consists of a 7S RNA and homologues of the eukaryotic SRP19 and SRP54 proteins. The record is from RNAcentral. Lineage: Bacteria; Pseudomonadati; Pseudomonadota; Gammaproteobacteria; Cellvibrionales; Halieaceae.